AUAUUCAGAAAGUAGAAGCAAUUUUCAUGUGAUAGGUCAUUAAUGCCAAUUUUAUGUAUCUGCAAAUGAGGAUGUGGGGGGUUCCAGGAAGUUAUUUAAAUGCUUUUGGUGCACAGUUCCUUUACCCUGCCUAGGGUUACCUACAACAUACCUUUGGGGAACUUUGCCUGCUUCUUUGCUAGGCUGGGGUCCCAUUCUCUUGGAUCCUCUGCUAAUCUGCCGAUCAAUCUUGUAGAGAUUGCAGAGAUGUUAAUGACUUUAUUUGACUUUUCUACUUAGAGACAGAUAGAUUAAGAAGUGUUUCAGGCUGUGGCCAGCUGGGACCAUUCAGCAGCCUU
Molecule: long non-coding RNA, 338 nt
Filed under: Homo sapiens (human)
Lineage: Eukaryota; Metazoa; Chordata; Mammalia; Primates; Hominidae
Description: HSALNT0038247
Source: RNAcentral